UGAAAAUGUCACUUUCACAUGUGGAAUUGCAAGUUCACAAGUGAAAAACAAUCACAUGUAAAAAUCUAAUUUGCACUUUCACAUGUGAUUAUUUUUUCACGUGGAACUUGCAAUUCCACAUGUGAAAAUGAAACGAUCAAUGUUUUGACUAAAACAUGGUUCAAACUAUAAUGUUGAUAUCAUGUCAGUCCUUGAGCGUGUUUGCAUUUCUCCAGCCCCAUCACUCAUAUUUUUACUGAAACUGUGGCAGGGGAAAUCCCUUUGUUAAUGUUUCAUUGCGGGAUGGACUGUUUAAAGCCCUGUAGUAGAGUAAUAGUUUGUACUAUAUGGUGAGUCAUUUACUUUGUAACAUUCAUAUCAAGCAAAACUUCUGAAGUCGAGAACAAAAAUUCUUAGUAUUGCAAACAAAAAUAAUUAUUUUGAAAGCAAAACGUAAACCCCAAAGUGUUGAAAGCAAAACAUAAACCCCAAAGUGUUGAGAACAAAACAUAAACCCCAAAGUGUUGAAGCUGAAACAUAAACCCCAAAGUGUUGAAGCUGAAACAUAAACCCCAAAGUGUUGAAGGUGAAACAUAAACCCCAAAGUGUUGAGAACAAAACAUAAACCCCAAAGUGUUGAGAACAAAACAUAAACCCCAAAGUGUUGAAGCUGAAACAUAAACCCCAAAGUGUUGAGAACAAAACAUAAACAUCAUACUCUGAUACCUCCUUUGUCCCACCUCCCACACAUGCGGUGACCUCACCCAUUAUAACCAGCAUGUCUAGAGAUACAAUCUCUCUUAUCAUCACUCAGUGCCUGGGCUUACCUCCGCACCCCAUCAUACCCCUGUCUGCACAUUAUUCCCUGAAUCUAUUCUACCACGCCCAGAAAUCUGCUCCUUUUAUUCUUUGUCCCCAACGCUCUAGGCGACCAGUUUUGAUAGCCUAUAGCCGUACCCUCAUCCUACUCCUCCUCUGUUCCUCGGGUGAUGUGGAGGUAAACCCAGGCCCUGCGUGUCCCCAGGUACCCUCAUUUGUUGACUUCUGUGAUCGAAAAAGCCUUGGUUUCAUGCAUGUUAACAUCAGAAGCCUCUUCCCUAAGUUUGUUUUACUCACUGCUUUAGCACACUCCACCAACCCUGAUGUCCUUGCCGUGUCUGAAUCCUGGCUUAGGAAGGCCACCAAAAAUUCGGAGAUUUCCAUACCCAACUACAUCAUUUUCCAUCAAGAUAGAACUGCCAAAUGGGGAGGAGUUGCAAUCUACUGCAGAGAUAGCCUGCAAAGUUCUGUCAUACUUUCCAGGUCUAUACCCAAACGGUUCAAACUUCAAAUUUUUUAAAUUAAUCUCUCCAGAAAUAAGUCUCUCACUGUUGCCGCCUGCUAUCGACCCCUCUCCGCUCCCAGCUGUGCCCUGGACACGUGAAUUGAUCGCCCCCAUCUAGCUUCAGAGUUCUUCUGUUAGGUGACCUAAACUGGGAUAUGCUUAACACCCCGGCCAGUCCUACAAUCUAAGCUAGAUGCCCUCAAUCUCACACAAAUCAUCAAGGAACCCACCAGGUACAACCCUAAAUCCGUAAACAUGGGCACCCUCAUAGACAUUAUGCUGACCAUCUUGCCCUCCAAAUACACCUCCGCUGUUUUUAAUCAGGAUCUUACUGAUCACUGCCUCAUUGCCUGUAUCCGCUAUGGGUCCGCGGUCAAACGACCACCCCUCAUCACUGUCAAACGCUCCCUAAAACACUUCUGCGAGCAGGCCUUUCUAAUCGACCUGGCCCGGGUAUCCUGGAAGGAUACUGACCUCAUCCCGUCAGUCGAGGAUGCCUGGUCGUUCUUUAAAAGUAAUUUCCUCACCAUCUUAGAUAAGCAUGCCCCUUUCAAAAAAUGCAGAACUAAGAACACAUAUAGCCCUUGGUUCACUCCAGACCUGACUGCCCUUGACCAGCAC
This 1924-nucleotide long non-coding RNA is filed under the name Salmo salar (Atlantic salmon). RNAcentral describes it as "lncRNA (ENSSSAG00000102651.1)". Lineage: Eukaryota; Metazoa; Chordata; Actinopteri; Salmoniformes; Salmonidae. The record is from RNAcentral.